CCUCUCCCUCCCGCGCCCCUCCCUGCCCCGCCGCCGCUCCCCGCACUCGCUCCUCCUCCCACGCAGCCGCCUCUCUCCCUCGCUCGCUCCUCAUCUGGCGACAGCGGCGGCGGCGGCGGCUCCCGCGCCCGCAUUCUUCCUCCUACCAACCACGGCGCUCCUCCCCAUCGCCAUGGACGAGCUUGAGCUCCAGGUGCUCCUUCUCUGCCCAGAAGCCCAAGGGCGUUGCGGGGCGGCAAGGGGCUCAGCCUCAACCCGCCAACCCUAGCUGCCCCCACGCUGCCGUCGGCUCCUUCUCCCGGCCUGCCGGAUCCCGUCGUCCGCAUCCCCGGCGUCGUCGCCGUCGCCGUCGUCCUCGCGUGCACUCGGCAGGAGAAGUGCGGCUCUCCUCUUAGCCCGUCUCAGUUCUCUCUUGCUCUCUCAGUCCCCUUUCUGCCGGGUUCUUGCCACUGAUGCGCCACCUCCUGGUUCAUCAUGAAGGUAUUGCAUGAUAGGUGCUCGAUAAAUUGUGAGGGCGGGCUAAUGAGUAGUUUCUUAAUGGUUGGGCCUGCGAUGGCAUCGAUUAAGUCUGUGUUGACAAGACCAGCUGGGUUUGCGAUGACUAGGUUGUUAGCACAGUCUCCUGGAUGCAAUGCUCCUCUUGUUUCUUCUUAUCUUACCAAUGGAUUUGUUUGGGCUAAGAAAAUGCACUCUCUCUGGAUCUGUGAUGCCACCACUUUCUGCUAUCAAGUAGUGGUUCUUACAUGUUUUCCGUAUGUCAAAUUGUGCCAUAUGUGACCUUUUGCUUCACCGUAGUAUUAAUUAAUGUAAGAUGCAGAUUUUUAGAAAUAUCAAUGAUUGUGUGAUGCUUAAUUAGGCCUGAAACAUUUAUCUUGCCAAAUUUCUGUGCAUAUGGCGACCUCUCCGACCUUUUCUACUAGGAGAUGAUGCUGGUUCUGAAAUUAUGAUCAUAUAUUUAUGAAGUUCUUUUUUUUCUUGAGCGCGUGUUCUUUUUAUUUUGCCAUAUGUGACCUUUUGCUUCAUCGUAGUAUUAAUUAAUGUAAGAUGCAGAUUUUUAGAAAUAUCAAGGAUUGUGUGAUGCUUAAUUAGGCAUGAAACAUUUAUCUUGCCAAAUUUCUGUGCAUAUGGGGACCUCUCCGACCUUUUCUACUAGGAGACUAUGCUGGUUCUGAAAUUAUGAUCAUAUAUUUAUGAAGUUCUUUUUUUCUUGAACUCGUGUUCUUUUUAUUUUGUCGAUCAGGUACUUCAUGGCAGCGCUGUGGACAGCAUCACCGUAACCACAUUGAUGGUCCAAGUCCUAGCUCACAACAUCACUUUUUAGUUCUGCUGUGAGCACCUCAACAGCUCAACGUCAGCUAUUAUUGAUGUAGCUGCAUAUAGUCAUUCUAUGAUCUAUUUUGGCUACCAUCAUUUUUAGGUUGUUAUGCUGGUUUUCUCUAAGCUUGAAAUAUACGUAGCCUAUAUAUCUACAAAAAGGGAUCAAGAACUAUAUGUGGGCUACUCAUUAUAGUCGCUGUCGAUAUUAACUCUUUUGCAUGUUUGCAUCUGAAUCAAUCAUCUGCUCUCUACUAAAUGUAUGUGAGCUACUCAUUUGGUUAUAUAUGAGCUACUCAUUUGGUUAUACUGUGUAAAUAGGAAUCAAUAAUAAAAGUAGAUGGUACAAAGUUGUGCCCCUAGCUUUUUUCCCAUUGGUCUUGCUAAGCAAGUUAAUGUAUAUCUUCAUUUAUAUAGCAUCUCUACCGUUCCAAUAUGUUUAGCUAUAUAUGUUCACUUGGUCCCUUAGUUACUUCCUCGGCCCUCUUGGCUGCCACCGAAUAGAUUUUUAUAUUUUUGUAUAUCUUGCUCAGCGUCCUAUGCUCCAUAUACGCUUUCCUAUAUAUUUAUAAAUUUUCAUCUGCAUUAAAGUGAUACAUAUAUGUGAUGAUUUCUGACUUGACUUAUGCUAGGAUUAAUCCUGCAGCAAUCGGUAUAGUCAGUGUUGUCUGGAUGUGUUGUACCAUAUUAGAUUAUGUGUUCUGCCCAGCAGGGAUUAUUUAUCGAUGCUUCUUGGUGUAUCUAGAGAGUCUGAUUAGAGAGAAGUCAGUUCACAUCUCAGUGGCUUUUGUUGUUUAAUUUACACAACAUAUGCAGGUUCAUAUAGCAGUAUGCAUGUGUGAAUAUAAACUCUUCAUGCAAUGUGGCAGUAAAAGGCCUUUCGAUUUUACCUUAGGCACUACAGGCAGCUAAUAGAUAGGCCCAUUGCUUGCAUGAUGAUAAGUUUUGAACUGACGGUGUUCUUGACAAUAGUUGCAUCAGUGCACACGAGGUCCAAAGAAGCAUUGUUUCAUGUUUCAUUUACUUUUCUAUUGCAAUCACUCAUCCAAAAAGAAUAUUCAGUGCACCUGUAAAACAUCUAACAAAAAUAAUCAUAGACCCUUCUUUCUAAAUCAGAAUAUAACAGUACUAAAUCAGCUAGAUGGGUUGUAGAUGCUUUGUUACUCAAUGAUAGGAAAAAAUGUUAGCUGCGCUCUUGACCUACCUACCAGCUACUGACCGCCCUAUCCAUUUCCCUCUCCAAGUUAAUAUACUUUCUUUGUUGGCCCAAGACACAAAGCAAGUUCUGCGUUUGUUGUGUUCAUUCGUUCCUGAUCAACGAUUUUCUUUUCCAGAUGACCCAUUUGGUUUCCGCUCCGUUACUUUCUACUUUGCUGAUAGAAAUUGAAGGAUCUGCGUGUUUGUAAUCUUAGAACUUUCGGUCAUUUUAGAACUUUCGGUCAUUUGUAAUCUCUCCAUGGCGCUUGCCGCUCUGACAGCGAUUUUGAAACAAUUAUUACCUGAUAAAAGAUGAAAGUAGAAUGCUUAUGUUAUUUAAUUUUGUCCGUUCAUGCUUAUCCUUUUGGGUACUUCUGAAGGAACUUUUGGGUUGUUUCCUACCCACUAAUAUUAUUUAUCAGAAAAUUCUUUAUUGAAAUCUUGAAUAAGGGAACUAUAAUAAUGCAGAUAAAUAAGAUUUUUUUUCUUAUUUUACAAACAGGUGCAUGUUAUGAUUAUUGUGUUGGGGUGCAAGGCGCAACUCCGACGUGGUUCCUCACCGGUUGGACGGCGUUCAGGCGCAACCCCGGCGCCCACUGAGUACUGCCUCGGCUACAACCUCCCCCGGUGAGAUCCAUCUUCCUCCUGCUCCUCUGCUUCGGCAACUGCAUGGGACAUGGCCGUGGCUAUAUUGAUGUUGUGCUCUUCUCAUUGAUGCUCUAUGGCCUACUCAUGCAUCGGUUCCUACUCGGGCUCUGUAGUUGUCGAUCCAUGCUAUUAUAGGGUUUGCAGGUUGCUAUUAGUGAUCAGUUGCUAUCAUAGGAGCUCCUGUGAUGCUCUGGUUUACAUGUGGAUGCCCUGGUCCUAUAGCUGUGCUCCUGGAUUUGCUUGAUUGAUCAGUGGCGUUCGUGCUAGGGCGAUGAUGAUUAACCGUGGCUGAAAUAAGUGUGCCUUUGAGCGAUCGAGGUACCUGUCGGUAUCAAGUUGGAUCCUCCCUCUUGUCUCUAGAAUCCUUUUUGAUAUUGUGAUACUUGUUGUUCUGUCCUUGGAUGGUCAUUCUUGUUGAGUGAUAACCAGGACAGAUCCACUGUAUCCCAUCCCCUUGUUAGAGUCUGAAGCAAAAUGGAGCUCUCCCGUUCGUUUGGAUUCUCGACCGUUCGAUUGUCUGUCCAAACGAAUCCCGGCCAUCCGAUCUUCAGAUGAAACAAUCUGGACCGUUGGAUCUCAGACAGGGCCGGUCUCGUCCGUCGGGUCGAAAACGAGACCGCUGCAAUGCCCUGGUCGCGCCACCGCGCGUGAAUAGCAUGCCCCGCCGAUGUCGUUCUUGUCAUUUCAUCCAUAGGCGUAUAAAACCAGCACGCCCAUGGUGACCCUAGCUGCCUCUCUCUUCCUCCCGCCCCUCACGCCACCACCCUACCUCCUGUUCAUGCUCAGUUGCUAUCAUAGGAGCUCCUGUGAUGCUCUGGUUUACAUGUGGAUGCCCUGGUCGUAUAGCUAUGCUCCUGGAUUUGCUAGAUCGAUUAGUGGCGUUCGUGCUAGGGCGAUGCUGAUUAACCGUGGCUGAAAUAGGUGUGCCUUUAAGCAAUCGAGGCACCUGUGGGUAUCAAGUUGGAUCCUUCCUCUUGUCUCUAGACUCCUUUUUGAUCCUGUGAUACCUAUUGAUCUGUCCUUGGAUGGUCAUUCUUGUUGAGUGAUAACCAGGGCGGCUCCAUUGUAUAAACAGAUUAGUGUGGUGAUAAGAGAUGAGGCGGGUAGGUUAUAUGAUCGAGGAAAGCUGAAUCUGAGCCCACUAUGCAAUGAACCCUGAACCCUUUUUAUUUGUAUUUAAAGGUGUUGCUUAUUUAUGCUCCAGUGUUUAUAGCCGUCUUAUGUAAGGAUUUCUUCUCUCUCAUACCUUUAUUGCAUAUGAGUUGUUCUUGAUCUUUUAUUGUUUGUUGGGGGCUUUCUUGUUUUGUUGGGGGCUUUCUUGUUUUGUUGGUGCCUUACCGCCAAGCAGAUCCUUGGAUUUAGCUAGGUUAUCUGUUUCAUUGCUUGGUUUUUUGCCUGUUAAAGAGAAGCUUAGGUCUAUAUGGAUUCCUGAGGUAAUAUCCAUUGUUUCUCAUAGUUUAGUUACAACUGAUUUCCGAGUUCUAACUCCUUCAUGUUAUUUCAUUAUUUCUCCUCUUUGUACCGCUAUUUAUUUCAAAUUCUGAAAUAAGGACGGCCUUGGUGGCUGUAUUUACUUGCGCUUUGUUUAUAUAUGAUUGGUAUUAGAUUCUUUGAGAAAAUUUGUUGUUACAUUAGUGGUCUAGCUAGAUUGCAAGAAAGGGGCUGUAUCUUCCCUUUCGGUGCUCAGCGGGAGGAGUGCGCUCGCCGCCGGCCCUGACGAGAGGUGUCGCCGCCCUGGUCAGAUUUGGCCGCCUCCACCACCACCCACUUACAGGAGGCCCCUGCCACUCCUCCUCCAUCGCAUGGUCAUCACUGGGAGGAGCAGCAGCUCUGCCUAGAGGCAUCGCCAUCGGCUAGAGGGCGUCGGACUCUCGUCCUUGCGUUCAUGCACCUCCGGGAAGAAGACCCGAGGUAAGCAGCCUCCAAUUUGCCGUGCGAAUUGAGCAGGGUUGGAUCCAAGAGGCAGAGAUGCAGUCCUCCAGAGCUGUUGGGAAGAAGAAGAAGAAGAAGAAGAAGAAUUGCAAAGGAUGGCGAGAUUGAGCGUCUGAAGUAAAGCUCAGACCUGCACAUGUCCAAGUGUCAGUCGCUUGAAUUGAUUAGGCAGAGGGACAUAGAUAUAAGAGAGAAGGAUGGUGUCAUUCAGAGCUACCAUUAUAAGACAGAUGGGGAGCUGAUGAACCCAGGGUCCUGACAGAUAUACCUCAUCUUCCCAACGGACAACACCUUCCUCGAGGAGGACGACUCCAACUACUUCAGCUAUCUCGGCUGUCCUGGCCUUUUAUGAAAGAUGAAUCAAUGAUUUAUGUCAGCACAAGCUACCGGCAGCUUCCUCGCGUGCAAUGCUAUUUGAAGACCAUUCAGGUGAUUUAAAAGAGAAGAUGUCCAGAAUGUCUAAGAAGAUUGAAGAUGAUGAUCAAAAGAUUGACAUAUUAAGCGAUUGCCAAGAUGUGAAUAAUGCUUGCCCCUGCCUUUAGUAAUACCUUGCUCUUCUUUAUGAAAUCUUUCCUAUUACAUAUUGAUGCAACAACUUGCAAAUUUUGAUAUCCCUAUUUACAUACAUUACUCAGCGGCUGACCUGUAUAGAGUUGCGUGGCAGGCAUGUGUGUUGGGGAACGUAGUAAUUUCAAAAAAAUUCCUACGCACAC
This is a long non-coding RNA of Triticum aestivum (bread wheat), 5804 nucleotides long. RefSeq lists it as uncharacterized. NCBI's taxonomy places the organism in Eukaryota, Viridiplantae, Streptophyta, Magnoliopsida, Poales, Poaceae. The transcript is spliced from 5 exons. The record is from RefSeq and is a predicted model, not a curated record.